Homalodisca vitripennis (glassy-winged sharpshooter) is the source of this 716-nucleotide long non-coding RNA. RefSeq lists it as uncharacterized. The record is from RefSeq and is a predicted model, not a curated record. NCBI's taxonomy places the organism in Eukaryota, Metazoa, Arthropoda, Insecta, Hemiptera, Cicadellidae. The transcript is spliced from 5 exons.
AUUAUUUUAGCAGAUGAAGGUAGCGUUUAAUCGACAUCGUUUCUAUUAAAAGUGAAAUGUAUUUUGUAGCUGGCAUUUUUGUUGUUCUGUUCCUGAGUAUCUUAGGAGGAAUAAGUGCUCUAAAUACUUGUGACAAGACUAUAAUUGAAAACAUUUACAAUAUAAAUAACCACCCACAAUGCAUUCUGGAAGCGGGAUACGAGUUGGGACAUCUCACCUUCUGGGCCCUCCCCAGGGAGGAUCUGACGGGGGGUCUCCGGACUGAAGUGUAUCGAAUCAUAUUUAGACCCUCCAUCCGGCAAAUGUGCCUCUGGACACGUAAUUUACCAUUUCUCUAACGGGACAUCCAUUGUAAUAAACUACACAUAUUACGACGAAGGAAAUGGACACAUUAAGGAAUUCGAUGAGAGUGGCAACGAGUUCAAUCUCUACUUCUUUAAUAUCGACAAUACGUCUUGCUACUAUCGCUGUGUCACUAGUAAAGAAGACGGAUGGCCCUUUGCUGGUGUCGCAGUGUCGAUAGGGACACAGAACGAUCCGGUUGUAGCGGAUGCUGUGGCGGAGUGCAAGAAGAAGAUCGAGAUCGUGGGCAUUCCAGUGGAUUUGGUGGAUCUCACUUUGUGCACUAGCUGUUAAACUGUGGACUCACGUACUGUCACAUGGUGGAGCUGUCACAUACGACAGUCACAUUAAAUACGUCAUUGUUGAUGUUGUAA